RNAcentral lists this long non-coding RNA (456 nucleotides) under Olea europaea subsp. europaea. Lineage: Eukaryota; Viridiplantae; Streptophyta; Magnoliopsida; Lamiales; Oleaceae. The record is from RNAcentral.
UUUUUAUCAAAUAGUGGCUGCGUUGAGCAGCAUUGGAGCAUGUCAAUUCAUUGAAUUGAGCCACACAUUUUUGAAUCAAUACACUUGAACAUUAAAGUGUGAUACAACACCAUCUAACUAAAAAUGAGCAGGGAUUAAAAUGUGAAAAAUGGCAUUGGAGACGAAGGGACAAAUCAAGUAACCAAGAUAUAACAUAAAGAUCACCAUGUUCAGGAUAGGAUCUACUCCAACACUUAUGGGAACGCGUGUAUCAAAACGACGACGAAUCCUCCUCCUCCUCCAAAGGAUGCCAAGUAUCAUGAAAAUAGCAAAAGAUGAUAGAACUCCAACUAUUAUAUAAGCGUGUAUAUUCUUUUUGCUUCCGGUUGAACAAAUUUUGAAAUCUGCACAGGAGAAAAAUAGAAAUUUGAGGAACAAAAAUCAUAUAAGUGAAAGAUAUAUCUAUUUUUCUUUAAA